UACGUAGGGGGCAAGCGUUGUCCGGAAUCAUUGGGCGUAAAGAGCGUGUAGGCGGCCAGAUAAGUCCGCUGUGAAAUCUCGAGGCUCAACUUCGAGCUGUCGGUGGAAACUGUCUGGCUAGAGUCCGGAAGAGGAGAAUGGAAUUCCUGGUGUAGCGGUGAAAUGCGCAGAUAUCAGGAAGAACACCAAUGGCGAAGGCAGCUCGCUGGGACGGUACUGACGCUGAGACGCGAAAGCGUGGGGAGCAAACAGG
RNAcentral lists this ribosomal RNA (253 nucleotides) under uncultured bacterium. RNAcentral's name for it is "partial 16S ribosomal RNA". It matches the Rfam family "Bacterial small subunit ribosomal RNA", at positions 524 to 776 of the family's 1533-position model. The record is from RNAcentral.